CUAGGAGAACCGAAAACAGUUCUAGACUGACCUGCGGUUUUAUAGCACUUUGGCAGUCAACUUCAGCUUGUGUCAGAGCAGACACGACAGAGCUGCCCGACGGUUAAUCGCGGGACGCCACCUACUUGGACUCACUGCAGUUCCCCCUCUUGCAUUAAAUAAAUUUCAAACCUUGGGGAUAGAAAUGGGGAGCAAAGCUGGUGAAGGU
This is an unclassified non-coding RNA of Dromaius novaehollandiae (emu), 208 nucleotides long. The record is from Ensembl. NCBI's taxonomy places the organism in Eukaryota, Metazoa, Chordata, Aves, Casuariiformes, Dromaiidae.